AAACGGGUCAAGGUAACGGAUUCACCAAGAGUUCGAUAAUAUAUAAAAGCGAUGGAAAUCGCUAAGUUAACUAAACUAGUAGAAAUAACAAAAUUACGUUAUUUCAAAUUACAUUAUGUCGUAUGAGGUACGUAGAGGUUCUGUAACCAAAAAGAUAUUACCAAAAUUUUUCUGGUAAUACUAACAAUUGGUUAAAAUAUGAAUAAUGCUUGAAAGAUUACUCAGGUCAAACGCAUUGAGUUUAGAACUCAAUGAACUAUGUAAGCAAGGUUUCGAGGACGAAACCUCUUUAAGGGGGGUAGACUUGUAACACCCCGAAAACGGGCUUGGUAAUUAAACUCUGUUAAUACUAAAAGACGGGUAACGUACCGUUAUUAGUAAAAAUAACCCGGCAAAUAUUUGGAUUUAAAUAAGAAAUCCUAAUAUUAAAUAAAAACGAAUCAAAGUUUUAAGUAAUUAAGUUUAUAAAAGGCCCGAUUUAACGGGACUUAAAGUAAAAGGGGUUACGGCUUCCCGAACCUACUAAGCUAACUAGGAAUAAUUCUAACCUAGUUAGAUAGUGACUUAUGAGUGGGUUAAAACACUUAAAUUAUGAACUAAGGAAAAUUAAGGGGCCAAAGAUGUUAAAAUCGAAACUUAUGUUGCUAAUUUAAUUAAAACAAAAACCAAACACCCCAUUUGGGGAUGUCUGGUCGUACAAAGAAGCAGGAGGCGAUGGGUUUCUUCAAACCCUAAAAUCCUUAAUUAAACUCUCAAAUUGGAGGUGCAAAUAUGGUCCAAAACGAAAAUCGAGCAUAGAUUACUGAUCCCCAUUGCAAGGGGGUUGUAAGUUUGACUCUUGACAAGCUAGAUGGAGGCUUGGAAUGAAGCGGGUCAAACGGAGCAAGUACGAAAAGGAAAGCGUAAUUUGGAUGCGAGGUAAGUAAAGCUUACGCCCUCUUUUGUAAGUUAUGUGUUUAUUCAUAGGUUGUAAAUACGACAAAAGCUAUAUUUGAAAUAUGGUUCCGACACGAAAUGAAACGGGUCGGGACAUAUAAAAUAAUGAUAAACCAUGUUUAAUGGUAAAAUGGGCGAAAUGGUAAUUGGUCACGAGAUGACAUAUAUAUAAAAUGAGUUUUUGAAUGGCUACUUAUUAAGGUAAGCCUAAACGAAUAAAAAGAGUAAAACGACGAAUUAGUCAUGUGUAGACGAAAAAGAGUUGAAGUUUAAAACAACACCAUUUAAUAUUAAGCACAAAAUAUUUGGUAGUCUAGACCAAACGGGUCAAAUGGUAAUAUUUAUACCAUUUGAUAAUUAACGACUAAUAAGUGUAUGUCGAGUCUCAUGCUCGCAGGGUAAUUGGUUUAUGAAUUAGCGAGGCUAUGAAUUAGCAUAUUAUAGAGACAAGGUCUUAAAACGGGUCAAUAUGUUGACCCGAGCCAGGUACGCUUAUAUAUAUAGAUGUAUAGUUAAAAGUGUUUAACUUCCCUUCACGGGUCAAAAGGAGUAGAUAGGUAAAACGGGUUAAGAAUUCAUAAGAAACACGUAAUUUGAACCUUGCACAUUAGUAAAUUGAUAUAACGUGAUAUGCAUGAUAUUUUGAAUAUGAUUGAUUGAUCUUUGAUAUUGGUUAAUAUGUAACAUAUUAGAAUUUCGAGAAACUAAUGUAUUGGUAUGUUAGAAAGAGCGAAAUCCGAGAUUUAGGCUUGAGUAUAAUGAACAAAGCAACCAAAAGAUGGAUUUAUAGGGACUACCGUAAGUUACGGUAGUACCGUAAGUUACGGUAGCGGUCAGGAGCUUACGGUGUGAGUCUACUGGUUUACGAUGGACCAUUAUUGGAAAUUGACCACCGUAACUUACGGUGAAACCGUAAGUUACGGUAGGGCCUGAAUGUUUAUAAAUUUUAUAUAAUUGUAAAUUUUCAAAUUCAUUUCGAUCGUAGUUUCGAUCAAGUAUCAUUUCUAAGCAUUCUAAUAUAAAUGUUUAUGUAAACAUUUCAGUCUUAGGUACUCAAGGAUUAUGGGUGACGAUCAAGCAACUUUUGAAUGACCGAACACAUACUCUUGAAGCUUCCGCAUAAAUCAAGUCGGUUUAAACAAUGUUUAUGAUGUAAACUGUUUGCUAAACAACUUUUGAAAUGUUUAAACGACGUACUCAAUUAUGUUAUGUUGUAUUAUUUUAAAAUUGUAACGUUUAAACAAACCCGUAUUUUUACAAAGUAUAUGUAGUCAUAAUUACAUGUUGUUUGU
This is a long non-coding RNA of Helianthus annuus (common sunflower), 2228 nucleotides long. RefSeq lists it as uncharacterized. NCBI's taxonomy places the organism in Eukaryota, Viridiplantae, Streptophyta, Magnoliopsida, Asterales, Asteraceae. The transcript is spliced from 2 exons. The record is from RefSeq and is a predicted model, not a curated record.